RNAcentral lists this ribosomal RNA (429 nucleotides) under Chloroflexota bacterium. RNAcentral describes it as "Chloroflexi bacterium partial 16S ribosomal RNA". It matches the Rfam family "Bacterial small subunit ribosomal RNA", at positions 355 to 776 of the family's 1533-position model. The record is from RNAcentral. Lineage: Bacteria; Bacillati; Chloroflexota.
UGGGGAAUAUUGCACAAUGGGCGCAAGCCUGAUGCAGCCAUGCCGCGUGUGUGAAGAAGGCCUUCGGGUUGUAAAGCACUUUCAGCGGGGAGGAAGGCGAUAAGGUUAAUAACCUUGUCGAUUGACGUUACCCGCAGAAGAAGCACCGGCUAACUCCGUGCCAGCAGCCGCGGUAAUACGGAGGGUGCAAGCGUUAAUCGGAAUUACUGGGCGUAAAGCGCACGCAGGCGGUCUGUCAAGUCGGAUGUGAAAUCCCCGGGCUCAACCUGGGAACUGCAUUCGAAACUGGCAGGCUAGAGUCUUGUAGAGGGGGGUAGAAUUCCAGGUGUAGCGGUAAAAUGCGUAGAGAUCUGGAGGAAUACCGGUGGCGAAGGCGGCCCCCUGGACAAAGACUGACGCUCAGGUGCGAAAGCGUGGGGAGCAAACAGG